ACUUCCAAGAUCCCGUGUCUUUGUCGGAUUAUUGACGUUGUUGCUGCUCUUGCUCAAGUGUUGAUCAUUUUUGCUCAAAAGUCCUUCCCCAGCUGUGGUGGUGGGCGUUUCCCUCCAGCAGGCGCACCUGUACCUCAUUUCCCAUCAAGCCUUGCGGUGUAUUUAAGGACUGCCGAGCUGGAUUAUUGACUUUACUCACUGUUGUGCUUAAGUGUUACUUUCCAGACCUGUCGAUGCUAUUUGUUGUCGCUCUUGUUUUGUUCAUAGAUUGUUGUAAACAUUUUUGUCAUUCAGUCAUUGCUCUUCAUCAUUGUCUUCACGUUAUUGUACUUUUGAUGUCAUUUGUGUAUUGUCUGUGUUCUAUUGAACCUUGUCUUUGCAAGCGCGUUUUGUUUCAUUCAUUGUGUUUUUCUUGGUUCUUCGCGACCAGCGAUUUCAGUUGAUACUUUGUCGGUGCGAUUUUUUUUUUUUCUGUAGUAAAUAUUUUUGUUAUCGCACUUCUGGAAUCCCAAAACAUUCACCAGAAGCCAAUCCCAACUCAAAAGAAUUAAAAUCCUGCCGUAGUGUUUGAAUGUUUAUGAAAACGAACAGUACACAACACUCAGUGGUCAUCAAUAUUUCAAUUUUCAACACGGUGCAGUUUUGAUAUCAAUGUAAUAAAAAUAAUCACAUUCCUCUUCUGGCCAAUUCUCUCAUGUCAUAUUUUAUACUGUAAUUGCCGUACGAUUAGCUAGCAAACAGG
This is a long non-coding RNA of Hippocampus zosterae (dwarf seahorse), 742 nucleotides long. RefSeq lists it as uncharacterized. The record is from RefSeq and is a predicted model, not a curated record. Lineage: Eukaryota; Metazoa; Chordata; Actinopteri; Syngnathiformes; Syngnathidae. The transcript has 2 exons.